Molecule: ribosomal RNA, 253 nt
Filed under: uncultured bacterium
Lineage: Bacteria
Description: partial 16S ribosomal RNA
Rfam family: Bacterial small subunit ribosomal RNA
Source: RNAcentral
UACGAAGGUCCCAAGUGUUAUCCGGAUUUAUUGGGUUUAAAGGGUGCGUAGGCGGGUUAUUAAGUCAGUGGUGAAAGUCUUCAGCUCAACUGAAGAACUGCCAUUGAUACUGAUGAUCUUGAGUACGAUUGAGGUAGGCGGAAUGUGUCAUGUAGCGGUGAAAUGCUUAGAUAUGACACAGAACACCGAUUGCGAAGGCAGCUUACUAAGUCGUAACUGACGCUGAUGCACGAAAGCGUGGGGAGCAAACAGG